Molecule: ribosomal RNA, 471 nt
Filed under: uncultured bacterium
Lineage: Bacteria
Description: bacterial SSU rRNA
Rfam family: Bacterial small subunit ribosomal RNA
Source: RNAcentral
GACGAACGCUGGCGGCGUGCCUAACACAUGCAAGUCAACUUGACUGAAGGAGCAAUCUGACAGUAGAGUGGCGCAAGGGUGCGUAACGCGUAAGUAACUUGCCCAAGGUAAGGAAUAACGUCGAGAAAUCGGCGCUAAUACCUCAUAAUGCAGCGGAUCCGCAUGGAUAUGUUGUUAAAGGUUUACCGCCUUGGGAUAGGCUUGCGUCUGAUUAGUUAGUUGGUGUGGUAACGGCACACCAAGGCUACGAUCAGUAACUGGUCUGAGAGGAUGAUCAGUCACACUGGAACUGAGACACGGUCCAGACUCCUACGGGAGGCAGCAGUGAGGAAUAUUGGGCAAUGCUCGAAAGAGUGACCCAGCAACGCCGCGUGGAGGAUGAAGGUAUUCUAUAUCGUAAACUCCUGUGAGAGCAGACGAAAGACAGAUUAUAAUCUGGAUGACUGUAUGCACAGAGGAAGCCCCGGCUAA